Molecule: ribosomal RNA, 482 nt
Filed under: uncultured bacterium
Lineage: Bacteria
Description: partial 16S ribosomal RNA
Rfam family: Bacterial small subunit ribosomal RNA
Source: RNAcentral
AUUGAACGCUGGCGGCAUGCCUUACACAUGCAAGUCGAGCGGUAACAGGUCUUCGGAUGCUGACGAGUGGCGAACGGGUGAGUAAUACAUCGGAACGUGCCCGAUCGUGGGGGAUAACGAGGCGAAAGCUUUGCUAAUACCGCAUACGAUCUACGGAUGAAAGCGGGGGAUCUUCGGACCUCGCGCGGACGGAGCGGCCGAUGGCAGAUUAGGUAGUUGGUGGGAUAAAAGCUUACCAAGCCGACGAUCUGUAGCUGGUCUGAGAGGAUGAUCAGCCACACUGGGACUGAGACACGGCCCAGACUCCUACGGGAGGCAGCAGUGGGGAAUUUUGGGCAAUGGGCGAAAGCCUGAUCCAGCCAUGCCGCGUGCAGGAUGAAGGCCUUUGGGUUGUAAACUGCUUUUGUACGGAACGAAAAGCCUCUUUCUAAUAAAGAGGGGUCAUGACGGUACCGUAAGAAUAAGCACCGGCUAACUACGUG